RNAcentral lists this ribosomal RNA (502 nucleotides) under uncultured Sphingobacteriales bacterium. RNAcentral describes it as "bacterial SSU rRNA". It matches the Rfam family "Bacterial small subunit ribosomal RNA", at positions 903 to 1382 of the family's 1533-position model. The record is from RNAcentral. Lineage: Bacteria; Pseudomonadati; Bacteroidota; Sphingobacteriia; Sphingobacteriales.
GCCUUGCCAGCCCGCUCAGAACUUAAAGGAAGUUGACGGGGGCCCGCACAAGCGGUGGAGCAUGUGGUUUAAUUCGAUGAUACGCGAGGAACCUUACCUGGGCUCAAAUGUAUGUUGACGUAUUCUGAAAGGGAUACUUCUUCGGACAAUAUACAAGGUGCUGCAUGGUUGUCGUCAGCUCGUGCCGUGAGGUGUCGGGUUAAGUCCCAUAACGAGCGCAACCCCUAUCAUUAGUUGCCAUCAGGUCAAGCUGGGGACUCUAAUGAAACUGCCUACGCAAGUAGUGAGGAAGGUGGGGAUGACGUCAAAUCAGCACGGCCCUUACGUCCAGGGCUACACACGUGCUACAAUGGUCGGUACAAAGGGUUGCCAAGCCGCGAGGUGGAGCUAAUCCCAUAAAACCGAUCGUAGUCCGGAUCGCAGUCUGCAACUCGACUGCGUGAAGUCGGAAUCGCUAGUAAUCGUGAAUCAGAAUGUCACGGUGAAUACGUUCCCGGGCCUU